RNAcentral lists this ribosomal RNA (147 nucleotides) under Flavoplaca coronata. RNAcentral's name for it is "5.8S ribosomal RNA". It matches the Rfam family "5.8S ribosomal RNA". From Rfam's summary of the family: 5.8S ribosomal RNA (5.8S rRNA) is a component of the large subunit of the eukaryotic ribosome. The record is from RNAcentral. Lineage: Eukaryota; Fungi; Ascomycota; Lecanoromycetes; Teloschistales; Teloschistaceae.
AAAACUUUCAACAACGGAUCUCUUGGUUCUGGCAUCGAUGAAGAACGCAGCGAAAUGCGAUAAGUAAUGUGAAUUGCAGAAUUCAGUGAAUCAUCGAAUCUUUGAACGCACAUUGCGCCCCCUGGUAUUCCGGGGGGCAUGCCUGUC